UAGAGAGAGAAACGAGAAGAAGAAGAGGAUCUUCUUCUUGGGUUGUUUGUUUUCAUAUCUUUCCUCCCUCCAUCUUGAGUUUUCUAAGAGCAUCUCAGAUCUAAAACUCCUCCUUCUACUUUUCAUCUUUAGAAGAGUCCAAAUCAAGAAGAAGAAGGUACCUGAUCAACCAUCAAAGAAGGAUCAGCGCAGUACUAGCAUACUGUGUUGAUUUCUUGAAGCAGGACUUCUGAUCG
Molecule: long non-coding RNA, 236 nt
Filed under: Elaeis guineensis (African oil palm)
Lineage: Eukaryota; Viridiplantae; Streptophyta; Magnoliopsida; Arecales; Arecaceae
Description: long non-coding RNA (EGUI_LNC069044)
Source: RNAcentral